Molecule: ribosomal RNA, 440 nt
Filed under: uncultured bacterium
Lineage: Bacteria
Description: partial 16S ribosomal RNA
Rfam family: Bacterial small subunit ribosomal RNA
Source: RNAcentral
CCUACGGGAGGCAGCAGUAGGGAAUAUUGCUCAAUGGGGGAAACCCUGAAGCAGCAACGCCGCGUGGAGGAUGAAGGUUUUCGGAUUGUAAACUCCUUUUUUUAGAGAAGAUAAUGACGGUAUCUAACGAAUAAGCACCGGCUAACUCCGUGCCAGCAGCCGAGGUAAUACGGAGGGUGCAAGCGUUACUCGGAAUCACUGGGCGUAAAGAGCGCGUAGGCGGGAUAGCAAGUCAGAUGUGAAAUCCUAUGGCUUAACCAUAGAACUGCAUUUGAAACUGUUAUUCUAGAGUAUGGGAGAGGUAGGUGGAAUUCUUGGUGUAGGGGUAAAAUCCGUAGAGAUCAAGAGGAAUACUCAUUGCGAAGGCGACCUGCUAGAACAUAACUGACGCUGAUGCGCGAAGGCGUGGGGAGCGAACAGGAUUAGAUACCCGAGUAGUC